Molecule: ribosomal RNA, 770 nt
Filed under: uncultured bacterium
Lineage: Bacteria
Description: bacterial SSU rRNA
Rfam family: Bacterial small subunit ribosomal RNA
Source: RNAcentral
AGAGUUUGAUCAUGGCUCAGGACGAACGCUGGCGGCGUGCUUAACACAUGCAAGUCGAACGGUAAGGCCCUUCGGGGUACACGAGUGGCGAACGGGUGAGUAACACGUGGGUGAUCUGCCCCCUACUCUGGGAUAAGCCUGGGAAACUGGGUCUAAUACUGGAUAUGACCUUGAGCUUCAUGGUUCUUGGUGGAAAGUUUUUCGGUAGGGGAUGAGCCCGCGGCCUAUCAGCUUGUUGGUGGGGUAAUGGCCUACCAAGGCGACGACGGGUAGCCGGCCUGAGAGGGCGACCGGCCACACUGGGACUGAGACACGGCCCAGACUCCUACGGGAGGCAGCAGUGGGGAAUAUUGCACAAUGGGCGCAAGCCUGAUGCAGCGACGCCGCGUGGGGGAUGACGGCCUUCGGGUUGUAAACCCCUUUCAGUCGGGACGAAGAGCAAUUGACGGUACCGAUAGAAGAGGCACCGGCCAACUACGUGCCAGCAGCCGCGGUAAUACGUAGGGUGCGAGCGUUGUCCGGAAUUACUGGGCGUAAAGAGCUCGUAGGCGGCUUGUCGCGUUGUCCGUGAAAAUUUACAGCUCAACUGUGAACUUGCGGGCGAUACGGGCAGGCUAGAGUACUGCAGGGGAGACUGGAAUUCCUGGUGUAGCGGUGAAAUGCGCAGAUAUCAGGAGGAACACCGGUGGCGAAGGCGGGUCUCUGGGCAGUAACUGACGCUGAGGAGCGAAAGCGUGGGGAGCGAACAGGAUUAGAUACCCUGGUAGUCC